UGCUCCUUCCUGACCAUGGUCACGGAGAUGCGGUAGACUGUCUUCCUGGGGGGCGUCCCGCGCUGCAUCGCGUCCGCAGGCGGAGACGCGGGUUCGCCGCUGCCGUCCAGCAGGAGAACCGAGUCAGAUCACUGCAGGAGGAAGGGUUUCUGAUCUAAGACCUCCUGUGAUGCCCAGCUUCUGCCAUCACCCUGCCCAGGCUGAACUCAUUAGGGACCCAGGAGAUAAGGACUGGACCCUUGAGUCCCAGAAGUAUGGAGUAUGCUGGGUCCUAGGGCCAAGGACAUUCUGAUCCAGGAGAAGAAAAACCCCAGCCCACCGCCCAGCACCUACAUCUUGCUCGCCUUUUUCCUGGAGGACCAACAGCAGUGCAGCCUGCCGGCCCAACUGUGGGCCCAGACCGUCUGAUGUAAAGGGAGCCCCAGACGUUGUAAGGCAGCACCUGUGCUCCAGGCACUUCCAUUCUAUCCGGAAGCUCACAGUGUAACCUCGGCCGGCCCCACAGCCAGACUCCAGCCCCAGAGUGAGGAAAGCGGGUCCAUGACUGCUGGCCUGACCUUAGAUGAAAGGUGCAUGGAAGGCAUCCUCGGAUCUGAGAGUCAGGCAGUUUGCACACAUGGAAGCCGGAGAGCUGGUGCCCCUGAAGUGGGGGGAAAGGGGAGGGGGAGACCCACCCCCAGCGGGAACUCAAGUCCCACUCAGUAUCCUGCCAACAAGGGUUUCUGGGGCAGGGGUCCUUGGCUUGGACGGCAGACAACAGGUGAUCACCACAAGAUGCUGGCGCCCGUCCCGCCUGCCUCUGUAGGUCACGAUGAAGAGCUCUGGACGGUCUCUCUAUACAAAGAGAAGCCAUGAGCUCCAGUAAUCCUCCCCGGAGUCCGAAGAACAGCAGUAGAGACGGAGGAGGCCGCCGCCAGUCC
Non-coding RNA from Sus scrofa (pig), 920 nucleotides. Lineage: Eukaryota; Metazoa; Chordata; Mammalia; Artiodactyla; Suidae. The record is from RefSeq and is a predicted model, not a curated record.